AUGACCACAACUGCCCCGCUCGGAUCCGGGAUCCCUGCCGCCGCCUCGCCCUCCCCCAGCCGCACCCCCGAUCCCCGUGCCUCGCUGCUCCCUCCUCCCCCAGACGCGCCCCCAAUCCCGCCGGCGAACCUCGCACCAGACGUGCCGCCAAUCCCAGCGCCGCACCACCCUCCUCAUCUAGCUGCCACUCGAGGUGUUGAAGACCGGGCGGUGAUUCGGCUUGGGGGCGAUUCGGGAGGAAGAAGGGCGGUGGGGACUUGCUAGCGGCAGAUCUGGGCCAAAUAGAUCGGCAAGUGUUAGUGCGGCUGUGACAGAUUUAGGCCUCCAGGAUUGACGAGUAAACAUCCCUUGCCCUGCUCGUGCGUGAGGAUGCAGAUGUAUAUAGUAAUCAGGUUUGCAACUUCCGCAUCGCGAUUUAAACCAAGGAUCACGGAAGGCAGGAAGGUGGCAGGGUUCUCGGACAUCCAUGGGGACAUCACUAAUGGCCACAGGCAGACCAUGAGGUGGUAGAUACCAGCGGCCGGCAUCCGGGAGCAUCUCAUCCGGACUCACGCCCAAUCCGCAAGCAUCA
Long non-coding RNA from Panicum virgatum (switchgrass), 571 nucleotides. RefSeq lists it as uncharacterized. NCBI's taxonomy places the organism in Eukaryota, Viridiplantae, Streptophyta, Magnoliopsida, Poales, Poaceae. The record is from RefSeq and is a predicted model, not a curated record. The transcript is spliced from 3 exons.